CUAAGGAUGAUCCUUCAGCGAGCUCACGCUCACUAUCGGAUCGUUUUAGAAACAUCAGUGGCCAACAGAUCGCCAGAUCGUUGAGCUGCAUUGGCGGGAUUUCGCCGUCUUCGUUUCUCUUUCUUCGCGGACGAACACGCGCCGGGGCUGCGCUGUGCGAUUGCAUCUGCGCUGGUCGCCGAUGCAUGCACGCAAGACCCUAGUCCUGAUAAGGAUAGCGUUAGGGGCUUGUAGCUCAGUUGGUUAGAGCGCGCGCUUGAUAAGCGUGAGGUCGGAAGUUCAAGUCUUCCCAGGCCCACCACGCUUCGCCGUCGGCUUCGCGUGGCACUGCCACGCGAGACGAUGAAGCGAAGCGUGUCCGGCAUAGCCCGAAAGGGCGACGUCGGACUUAGAGAGGCGCUUCGUCUUCUGGUUUCUUGACCGUCGUCCGCGAAACAUCACUUCGCAUUCACUAGUCUGGAUAGACAGUGAACUGCGUGUUUUCUGACAUCGUAAAGAGGAGAUCGAUCCGAGUUGGGUCGUGCGGCAUAUCGUUGCGCGGGCCUUCAUUAUCUCCGGAUCAUUUCGGCGCUCGCUUUCAGCCGUGAGGUUGAAUGCGGGUUGUAAAUGAUCCUUUUAGCGAAGCUUGACCGCCUCGCUAUCGGAACGAUCUUACGAAGCAAGCUGGUCUUUCUAGUCAAUGUCCGGCUGUACGUAGCAUUCAUCGAGGGUGCGCGCCGCAAGGCAAUCGUACAGACAACAUUCUGCCGAGUGUGUGGACAUUGAUAAUGAGAGCAAUCAAGUGCCUUAAGGGUGUUCGGUGGAUGCCUUGGCGCUGAGAGGCGAUGAAGGACGUGCUACGCUGCGAUAAGCCGUGGGGAGCUGCGAAGAAGCUUUGAUCCGCGGAUUU
RNAcentral lists this unclassified non-coding RNA (889 nucleotides) under uncultured Bradyrhizobium sp. Its description in RNAcentral is "partial 16S-23S ribosomal RNA intergenic spacer". The stretch from base 776 to 889 matches the Rfam family "Bacterial large subunit ribosomal RNA", at positions 1 to 113 of the family's 2925-position model. The record is from RNAcentral. Lineage: Bacteria; Pseudomonadati; Pseudomonadota; Alphaproteobacteria; Hyphomicrobiales; Nitrobacteraceae.